This 246-nucleotide ribosomal RNA is filed under the name Pseudoalteromonas sp. SG44-17. RNAcentral describes it as "partial 23S ribosomal RNA". It matches the Rfam family "Bacterial large subunit ribosomal RNA", at positions 2038 to 2282 of the family's 2925-position model. Lineage: Bacteria; Pseudomonadati; Pseudomonadota; Gammaproteobacteria; Alteromonadales; Pseudoalteromonadaceae. The record is from RNAcentral.
GAAAUUGAAAUCGCAGUGAAGAUGCUGUGUACCCGCGGCUAGACGGAAAGACCCCGUGAACCUUUACUACAGCUUGGCACUGAACAUUGAACCUACAUGUGUAGGAUAGGUGGGAGACUUAGAAGAUGAGACGCUAGUUUUGUUGGAGUCGUCCUUGAAAUACCACCCUUGUAGUUUUGAUGUUCUAACGUUGGCCCCUGAAUCGGGGUUACGGACAGUGCCUGGUGGGUAGUUUGACUGGGGCGG